Molecule: non-coding RNA, 30 nt
Filed under: Mus musculus (house mouse)
Lineage: Eukaryota; Metazoa; Chordata; Mammalia; Rodentia; Muridae
Source: RNAcentral
CUGGAAAUUAUUUAUUAGCACUUUACAGGA